AUGAAAAUAUUAUCGUGGAACUACCGGGGUCUUGGGAACGCCCCGACAGUGCGUGCCCUGCUAGAUGUCCAGCGAAGAUGUUCCCCUGACAUGGUGUUUUUGUCGGAGACCCACCUUGACAGCUAUCCGGCAGAAUGUUUAAGGAGGAGGAUGAAGAUGGACCAGAAACUUGUGUGCACGAGUAAAGGUAGAAGUGGUGGUUUAGUUCUUUUUUGGAAUAAUCAUAUCAAUGUACGUAGGCUUGCUCUAGAUGCUAUGUUCAUUGAUGUAAUAAUUGAGGAUAAUAAUAAUAAUCUGGUUUGGAGUUUGAUGGGGAUGUAUGGUGAGUUUAGAUGGGCGAAUAAGCAUCUCACCUGGUCACGUAUGAGGCAACUUCACCAGAGUCGAAAUUUGUCGUGGCUCUUGAUUGGCGACCUCAAUGAAAUGCAGUUUCUUCAUGAGAAGGAGGGAGGAACCCACGUCCGACACAAUAUAUGCAGGCUUUCCAAGAAGCAAUUGAUGACUGUGGAUUACAUGAUAUGCGCUUCCUCGGAGACCUGUUCACAUGGAGAUGUUGAAGAAUAA
This 564-nucleotide ribosomal RNA is filed under the name Triticum aestivum (bread wheat). RNAcentral's name for it is "partial small subunit ribosomal RNA". The record is from RNAcentral. Lineage: Eukaryota; Viridiplantae; Streptophyta; Magnoliopsida; Poales; Poaceae.